AGUGAACGCUGGCGGUAGGCCUAACACAUGCAAGUCGAACGGCAGCACAGUAAUAGCUUGCUCUUACGGGUGGCGAGUGGCGGACGGGGGAGGAAUACAUCGGAAUCUACGUUUGCGUGGGGGAUAACGUAGGGAAACUUACGCUAAUACCGCAUACGACCUACGGGUGAAAGCAGGGGAUCUUCGGACCUUGCGCGAGUGAAUGAGCCGAUGUCGGAUUAGCUAGUUGGCGGGGUAAAGGCCCACCAAGGCGACGAUCCGUAGCUGGUCUGAGAGGAUGAUCAGCCACACUGGAACUGAGACACGGUCCAGACUCCUACGGGAGGCAGCAGUGGGGAAUAUUGGACAAUGGGCGCAAGCCUGAUCCAGCCAUACCGCGUGGGUGAAGAAGGCCUUCGGGUUGUAAAGCCCUUUUGUUGGGAAAGAAAAGCAGCAGGUUAAUACCCCGCUGUUCUGACGGUACCCAAAGAAUAAGCACCGGCUAACUUCGUG
RNAcentral lists this ribosomal RNA (492 nucleotides) under uncultured bacterium. RNAcentral describes it as "partial 16S ribosomal RNA". It matches the Rfam family "Bacterial small subunit ribosomal RNA", at positions 29 to 507 of the family's 1533-position model. The record is from RNAcentral.